AGGAUUCGGUUCUAAAAUCUCUCCUGUUUAGGAAGAGAAUGCAGUCUUCUGUUUCACCUGAGUGGCAGUCAUGACUAGAGUUUUACUUGACUGGUGUUUCUUCACCUUUUACCAGAGUUGCAGUGAGUCUUUGAAACUCCGCAUCACAUAAUGAGUACAGACGUCAUUGCUGUUCCCAUUGAUUAACAGCCAUUGAUCCAUGUCCUUAGGAAUCUGAUGAAGAAAACUUCGUUGACGUGGGAGAUGACAGUGACGAUGAAAAGUUUACCGAUGCAGACAGAGAAACAGCAACAGAUGCGGUGGAGGAAGUGGAGGCGAAGGAGGCUGAGCCUGAGAGCAGCACAGAAACCGAGAAGCCGAAGGCUGCUUCCUGGGUGCACUUUGACAAUUUGAAAGGUGGCAAGCAGAUAAAGACAUAUGAUCCCUUCGGUAGAA
Molecule: long non-coding RNA, 435 nt
Filed under: Rattus norvegicus (Norway rat)
Lineage: Eukaryota; Metazoa; Chordata; Mammalia; Rodentia; Muridae
Description: long non-coding RNA NONRATT024756
Source: RNAcentral